This 72-nucleotide transfer RNA is filed under the name Anneissia japonica. RNAcentral's name for it is "tRNA-Glu". It matches the Rfam family "tRNA". From Rfam's summary of the family: Transfer RNA (tRNA) molecules are approximately 80 nucleotides in length. Their secondary structure includes four short double-helical elements and three loops (D, anti-codon, and T loops). Lineage: Eukaryota; Metazoa; Echinodermata; Crinoidea; Comatulida; Comatulidae. The record is from RNAcentral.
UCCCAUAUGGUCUAGUGGCUAGGAUUCGGCGCUCUCACAGCCGCGGCCCGGGUUCGAUUCCCGGUGUGGGAA